This 253-nucleotide ribosomal RNA is filed under the name uncultured bacterium. Its description in RNAcentral is "partial 16S ribosomal RNA". It matches the Rfam family "Bacterial small subunit ribosomal RNA", at positions 524 to 776 of the family's 1533-position model. The record is from RNAcentral.
UACGUAGGGGGCAAGCGUUGUCCGGAAUUAUUGGGCCUAAAGCAUCCGUAGCCGGUUUUACAAGUCCUCCGUUAAAUCCAACUGCUUAACAGAUGGGCCGCGGAGGAUACUAUAAGACUAGGAGGCAGGAGAGGCAAGCGGUACUCAGUGGGUAGGGGUAAAAUCCGUUGAUCCAUUGAAGACCACCAGUGGCGAAGGCGGCUUGCCAGAAUGCGCUCGACGGUGAGGGAUGAAAGCUGGGGGAGCAAACCGG